This 209-nucleotide long non-coding RNA is filed under the name Elaeis guineensis (African oil palm). RNAcentral describes it as "long non-coding RNA (EGUI_LNC048101)". Lineage: Eukaryota; Viridiplantae; Streptophyta; Magnoliopsida; Arecales; Arecaceae. The record is from RNAcentral.
CUGCCGCUCAAUGUGAAACUUCACUUUUUUUGCUUGAAGGGAUGGUGAUUCAGACUCACAUUCAGUUGGUGCAUCAUUACCAAGGGAUUGAUUCUCGAUAUAUCCAUCGGCAUUCAAGUGAAGACAUCCAUAUUUUUCUAUAAGAAAAAUGUCACAUGAUCUUUUGUUACUUGAUCUAGAUUCGAUCUGAUUUGAACUGUGUGCUCUUG